This is a non-coding RNA of Oryza glumipatula, 194 nucleotides long. The record is from Rfam. NCBI's taxonomy places the organism in Eukaryota, Viridiplantae, Streptophyta, Magnoliopsida, Poales, Poaceae.
UUUAAGUGUAACCAUGAAUUUUCGUGUCUAAUUUUGAUCGUCCGUCUUAUUUGAAAACUUUUUAUAAUUAGUAUUUUUAUUGUUAUGAGAUGAUAAAACAUGAAUAGUACUUUAUGUGUGACUUAUGUUUCUAAAAUUUUUCAAAUAAGACGGACGAUCAAAGUUGAACACGGAAAAUCAUGGCUGCACUUAAA